UAGGGAAUCUUCCGCAAUGGGCGAAAGCCUGACGGAGCAACGCCGCGUGAGUGAUGAAGGUCUUCGGAUCGUAAAACUCUGUUAUUAGGGAAGAACAAAUGUGUAAGUAACUAUGCACGUCUUGACGGUACCUAAUCAGAAAGCCACGGCUAACUACGUGCCAGCAGCCGCGGUAAUACGUAGGUGGCAAGCGUUAUCCGGAAUUAUUGGGCGUAAAGCGCGAGUAGGCGGUUUUUUAAGUCUGAUGUGAAAGCCCACGGCUCAACCGUGGAGGGUCAUUGGAAACUGGAAAACUUGAGUGCAGAAGAGGAAAGUGGAAUUCCAUGUGUAGCGGUGAAAUGCGCAGAGAUAUGGAGGAACACCAGUGGCGAAGGCGACAUUCUGGUCUGUAACUGACGCUGAUGUGCGAAAGCAUGGGGAUCAAACAGG
This 429-nucleotide ribosomal RNA is filed under the name Actinomycetes bacterium. RNAcentral's name for it is "Actinobacteria bacterium partial 16S ribosomal RNA". It matches the Rfam family "Bacterial small subunit ribosomal RNA", at positions 355 to 776 of the family's 1533-position model. The record is from RNAcentral. Lineage: Bacteria; Bacillati; Actinomycetota; Actinomycetes.